Molecule: ribosomal RNA, 2886 nt
Filed under: Planococcus sp. MB-3u-03
Lineage: Bacteria; Bacillati; Bacillota; Bacilli; Caryophanales; Caryophanaceae
Description: 23S ribosomal RNA
Rfam family: Bacterial large subunit ribosomal RNA
Source: RNAcentral
GUGGUUAAGUUAAUAAGGGCGCACGGUGGAUGCCUUGGCACUAGGAGCCGAAGAAGGACGGCACUAACACCGAUAUGCCUCGGGGAGCUGUAAGUGAGCUGUGAUCCGGGAUUUCCGAAUGGGAAACCCACUGUUCGUAAUGGGGCAGCAUCCAUGUGUGAGAUACAUAGCACAUGAGAAGGCAGACUCAGGGAACUGAAACAUCUAAGUACCUGAAGGAAGAGAAAGCAAAUGCGAUUCCCAAGUAGCGGCAGCGAAACGGGAUCAGCCCAAACCAGAAGGCUUGCCUUCUGGGGUUGUAGGACACUCUAUGCGGAGUUACAAAGGAAUGGAUUAAGCGAAGCGACCUGGAACGGUCCCCAAGACAGGGUAAUAGCCCCGUAGCUGAAAGUUCAUUCCCUCCAGAGUGGAUCCUGAGUACGGCGGAACACGAGAAAUUCCGUCGGAAUCCGGGAGGACCAUCUCCCAAGGCUAAAUACUCCCUAGUGACCGAUAGUGAACCAGUACCGUGAGGGAAAGGUGAAAAGCACCCGGAAGGGGUGAAAUAGAUCCUGAAACCGUGUGCCUACAAGUAGUUAGAGCCCGUUAAUGGGUGAUGGCGUGCCUUUGUAGAAUGAACCGGCGAGUUACGAUUGCAUGCAAGGUUAAGGUGAGAAGCCGGAGCCGCAGCGAAAGCGAGUCUGAAUAGGGCGAAUAGUAUGCAGUUGUAGACCGAAACCAGGUGAUCUACCCAUGUCCAGGGUGAAGCUAAGGUAACACUUACUGUGGAGGCCCGAACCCACGCACGUUGAAAAGUGCGGGGAUGACCUGUGGGUAGGGGAGAAAUUCCAAUCAAACCUGGAGAUAGCUGGUUCUCUCCCGAAAUAGCUUUAGGGCAGCCUCAAGAUAGAGUUUCCUGGAGGUAGAGCUACUGUUUGGACUAGGGGCCCACCGGUUACCAAUUCAGACAAACUCGAAUGCCAUAAAAUUUUGCUUGGGAGUGAGGGCAUGGGUGAUAAGAUCCAUGUCCAAGAGGAAACAGCCCAGACCACCAGCUAAGGUCCCCAAAUAUAUGUUAAGUUGAAAGGAUGUGAAACUGCUUAGACAACCAGGAUGUUGGCUUGGAAGCAGCCAUUCAUUUAAAGAGUGCGUAACAGCUCACUAGUCGAGCGGUUUUGCAUGGAUAAUAAUCGGGCAUAAACAUAUUACCGAAGCUAUGGAUUUGUUAUUAAAUUAAUUAAGUGGUAGGGGAGCGUUCUAUUUGCGUUGAAGUCAGACUGGAAGGACUGGUGGGCGCGGAUAGAAAAGAAAAUGUAGGCAUAAGUAACGAAAUAAAGGGUGAGAAUCCCCUCACCGAAAGCCUAAGGUUUCCUCAGCGAUGCUAAUCAGCUCAGGGUUAGUCGGGACCUAAGGCGAGGCCGAAGGCGUAGUCGAUGGAUAACAGGUUAAUAUUCCUACCACCUUCUUAUAAUUGCGAUGGGGGACGCAGUAAGGAAAGCACCGCGAACUGACGGAAUAGUUCGUUGAAACAUGUAGCUAUUGGAACAGUAGGUAAAUCCGUUUCUAUAUGAUCAAGGUGAAAUGUGAUGUACAACAAAUCUUUGCGUUGAUAGUGUGAUUAAAGGCUUCCAAGAAAAACCUCUAAGAGGCAGAUUAUAAGAACCCGUACCGUAAACCGACACAGGUAGUUGGGAUGAGAAUUCUAAGGUGAGCGAGUGAUUCAUGGCUAAGGAACUAGGCAAAAUCGACCCGUAACUUCGGGAGAAGGGUCGCCCAUCUUCGGAUGGGCCGCAGUGAAAAGGUCCAGGCGACUGUUUAUCAAAACACAGGGCUUUGCUAAAUUGAAAGAUGAUGUAUAAGGCCUGACACCUGCCCGGUGCUGGAAGGUUAAGUGGAGUUGUUAGCUUCGGCGAGGCAAUGAAAUGAAGCCCCAGUAAACGGCGGCCGUAACUAUAACGGUCCUAAGGUAGCGAAAUUCCUUGUCGGGUAAGUUCCGACCUGCACGAAUGGUGCAACGAUCUGGACACUGUCUCAGCCAUGAGCUCGGUGAAAUUGUAGUAUCGGUGAAGAUGCCGAUUACCCGCAGCGGGACGAAAAGACCCCGUGAACCUUUACUAUAGCUUCGUAUUGGUUUUGGAUAAGUAAUGUGUAGGAUAGGUGGGAGACUAUGAAGCGGCGUCGCUAGGCGUUGUGGAGUUGUCCUUGAAAUACCACCCUUUGCUUAUCUAGAAUCUAACUCAGCAAUGAGAACAGUGCGUGGUGGGUAGUUUGACUGGGGUGGUCGCCUCCAAAGAGUAACGGAGGCUUCUAAAGGUUCCCUCAGCACGUUUGGUAACCGUGCGUAGAGUGCAAUGGCAUAAGGGAGCUUGACUGAGAGACGGACAGGUCGAUCAGGUACGAAAGUAGGACAUAGUGAUCCGGUGGUUCCGCAUGGAAGGGCCAUCGCUCAAAGGAUAAAAGGUACCCCGGGGAUAACAGGCUGAUCUCCCCAAGAGCUCACAUCGACGGGGGUUUGGCACCUCGAUGUCGGCUCGUCACAUCCUGGGGCUGGAGAAGGUCCCAAGGGUUGGGCUGUUCGCCCAUUAAAGUGGCACGCGAGCUGGGUUCAGAACGUCGUGAGACAGUUCGGUCUCUAUCUGCUGUGGGCGUUAGAAAUUUGAGUGGAUUUGACUUUAGUACGAGAGGACCGGGUUGAACUAACCUCUGGUGUAUCUGUUGUUCCGCCAGAGCAUUGCUGAGUAGCUACGUUGGGAAGGGAUAAGCGCUGAAAGCAUAUAAGCGCGAAACCCACCACAAGAUGAGAUUUCUUUAAAGGGUCGUGGAAGAUUACCACGUUGAUAGGAUACAGGUGUAAAGGCAGUAAUAGGUUAGGGGAGUAUUACUAAUAACCCAUGCAGGCUUAUGUAU